MicroRNA precursor from Gorilla gorilla gorilla (western lowland gorilla), 73 nucleotides. The record is from Ensembl. NCBI's taxonomy places the organism in Eukaryota, Metazoa, Chordata, Mammalia, Primates, Hominidae.
UCAGUGUAUUUGGAGGGUAAGGUUAAGCAAGGUGCGUCGUAUCUUGCUUAACCUUGCCCUCCAAAUACACUGA